UACUAAUUACAAAUAAAGCCACCGUGUCUAAAGAAGCUUGGUGUUUACUGUUAACUCACUUUACAUCGUCUUUGCUGUCUCUUAUUCCCCCUCAAGCUUUUUUUUCACACAGAAGCUA
Long non-coding RNA from Etheostoma spectabile (orangethroat darter), 118 nucleotides. RefSeq lists it as uncharacterized. The record is from RefSeq and is a predicted model, not a curated record. NCBI's taxonomy places the organism in Eukaryota, Metazoa, Chordata, Actinopteri, Perciformes, Percidae. The transcript has 3 exons.